RNAcentral lists this ribosomal RNA (492 nucleotides) under uncultured bacterium. Its description in RNAcentral is "partial 16S ribosomal RNA". It matches the Rfam family "Bacterial small subunit ribosomal RNA", at positions 29 to 507 of the family's 1533-position model. The record is from RNAcentral.
AGUGAACGCUGGCGGUAGGCCUAACACAUGCAAGUCGAACGGCAGCACAGUAAGAGCCUGCUCUUACGGGUGGCGAGUGGCGGACGGGUGAGGAAUACAUCGGAAUCUACUUUUUCGUGGGGGAUAACGUAGGGAAACUUACGCUAAUACCGCAUACGACCUACGGGUGAAAGCAGGGGAUCUUCGGACCUUGCGCGAUUGAAUGAGCCGAUGUCGGAUUAGCUAGUUGGCGGGGUAAAGGCCCACCAAGGCGACGAUCCGUAGCUGGUCUGAGAGGAUGAUCAGCCACACUGGAACUGAGACACGGUCCAGACUCCUACGGGAGGCAGCAGUGGGGAAUAUUGGACAAUGGGCGCAAGCCUGAUCCAGCCAUACCGCGUGGGUGAAGAAGGCCUUCGGGUUGUAAAGCCCUCUUGUUGGGAAAGGAAAGCAGCAGGUUAAUACCCCGCUGUUCUGACGGUACCCAAAGAAUAAGCACCGGCUAACUUCGUG